RNAcentral lists this ribosomal RNA (622 nucleotides) under Akkermansia muciniphila. Its description in RNAcentral is "bacterial SSU rRNA". It matches the Rfam family "Bacterial small subunit ribosomal RNA", at positions 37 to 680 of the family's 1533-position model. Lineage: Bacteria; Pseudomonadati; Verrucomicrobiota; Verrucomicrobiia; Verrucomicrobiales; Akkermansiaceae. The record is from RNAcentral.
UGGCGGCGUGGAUAAGACAUGCAAGUCGAACGAGAGAAUUGCUAGCUUGCUAAUAAUUCUCUAGUGGCGCACGGGUGAGUAACACGUGAGUAACCUGCCCCCGAGAGCGGGAUAGCCCAGGGAAACUGGGAUUAAUACCGCAUAGUAUCGAAAGAUUAAAGCAGCAAUGCGCUUGGGGAUGGGCUCGCGGCCUAUUAGUUAGUUGGUGAGGUAACGGCUCACCAAGGCGAUGACGGGUAGCCGGUCUGAGAGGAUGUCCGGCCACACUGGAACUGAGACACGGUCCAGACACCUACGGGUGGCAGCAGUCGAGAAUCAUUCACAAUGGGGGAAACCCUGAUGGUGCGACGCCGCGUGGGGGAAUGAAGGUCUUCGGAUUGUAAACCCCUGUCAUGUGGGAGCAAAUUAAAAAGAUAGUACCACAAGAGGAAGAGACGGCUAACUCUGUGCCAGCAGCCGCGGUAAUACAGAGGUCUCAAGCGUUGUUCGGAAUCACUGGGCGUAAAGCGUGCGUAGGCUGUUUCGUAAGUCGUGUGUGAAAGGCGCGGGCUCAACCCGCGGACGGCACAUGAUACUGCGAGACUAGAGUAAUGGAGGGGGAACCGGAAUUCACGGUGUAGCA